UCAGCAGCCGCGGUAAUACGGAGGAUCCAAGCGUUGUCCGGAUUUAUUGGGUUUAAAGGGUGCGUAGGCGGAUCUUUAAGUCAGUGGUGAAAGCCUGCAGCUUAACUGUAGAACAGCCAUUGAAACUGAAGAUCUUGAAUAUGGUUAAAGUAGGCGGAAUGUAUCAUGUAGCGGUGAAAUGCUUAGAUAUGAUACAGAACACCGAUAGCGAAGGCAGCUUGCUGAGCCAUUAUUGACGCUGAGGCACGAAAGCGUGGGGAGCGAACAGGAUUAGAUACCCUGGUAGUCCACGCCCUAAACGUUGAUUACUCGUUGUUGGCGAUAUACAGUCAGCGACCAAGCUAAAGCGUUAAGUAAUCCACCUGGGAAGUACGACCGCAAGGUUGAAACUCAAAGGAAUUGACGGGGGCCCGCACA
This 417-nucleotide ribosomal RNA is filed under the name uncultured bacterium. RNAcentral describes it as "bacterial SSU rRNA". It matches the Rfam family "Bacterial small subunit ribosomal RNA", at positions 508 to 927 of the family's 1533-position model. The record is from RNAcentral.